Molecule: ribosomal RNA, 1565 nt
Filed under: Candidatus Peribacteria bacterium RIFCSPLOWO2_01_FULL_51_18
Lineage: Bacteria; Candidatus Peregrinibacteriota; Candidatus Peribacteria
Description: bacterial SSU rRNA
Rfam family: Bacterial small subunit ribosomal RNA
Source: RNAcentral
UUUUUCGAAGAGUUUGAUCCUGGCUCAGAGUGAACGCUAGCGGCGCGCCUAACACAUGCAAGUCGAGUGGGUUUAGACCCACGGCAAACGGCUGCGUAACACGUUGGAACCUUCCCCGGACUCAGGGAUAACCCCGCGAAAGCGGGGCUAAUACCGGAUGGCCUCGGUACCUCUCUAUACUGAACUCGAAGAUCGCUGUCGAAAAUGAUUCACCGAUUGUUAAACCAGCAUCAAUCUCAGUAUAUAGAGGUGCCGAGUAAAGAUUUAUCGGUCCGGGAGGGGCCUGCGGCCUAUCAGCUAGUUGGCGAGGUAACGGCUCACCAAGGCAAUGACGGGUAGCUGGUCUGAGAGGACGACCAGCCAGAAUGGAACUGCGACACGGUCCAUACUCCUACGGGAGGCAGCAGUGAGGAAUCUUCCGCAAUGGACGAAAGUCUGACGGAGCGACGCCGCGUGGUGGAUGAAAGCCUUAACUGGUUGUAAACACCUGUUCUGAGGGACGAAAUUUUUGACGGUACCUCAGGAGAAAGUAUCGGCUAACCCUGUGCCAGCAGCCGCGGUAAGACAGGGGAUACAAGCGUUACUCGGAAUUACUGGGCGUAAAGCGUCUGUAGGUUUUCCGAAAAGUCUGAGGUAAAAACUCAGGGCUUAACCCUGAGAGCGUCUCGGAAACUCUCGGAAUCGAGCAGUGGAGAGGCAUCUGGAAUGCCAUGUGUAGGAGUAAAAUCCGUAGAUAUAUGGUAGAACGCCAAAAGCGAAGGCAGGAUGCUAGCCACUUGCUGACACUGAGAGACGAAAGCAUGGGGAGCAAAGGGGAUUAGAUACCCCCGUAGUCCAUGCCCUAAACGAUGCGUGCUCGAUGUGGGAGGUUUUCAAUUGCCUUCCGUGUCCAAGCUAACGCGGUAAGCACGCCGCCUGGGAAGUACGGUCGCAAGACUAAAACUCAAAGGAAUAGACGGGGACCCACACAAGCGGUGGAGCAUGGGGUUUAAUUCGAUAGUAAGCGAAGAACCUCACCUAGGCUUGACAUCUCGGGAACCCCCCGGAAACGGGGGGGUGCCGCAAGGAACCCGAAGACAGGUGCUGCACGGUUGUCGUCAGCUCGUGCCUUGAGGUGUACUGUUAAGUCAGCGAACGAGCGCAACCCUCAUCCUAUGUUGUCUUUUCAUGGGAGACUGCCGCCUCCAAGGCGGAGGAAGGUGGGGAUGACGUCAAAUCAGCGUGGCCCUUAUGCCUAGGGCGACACCCGUGCUACAAUGGCCGGUACAGUGAGCCGCGAAUCCGCGAGGAGGAGCCAAUCUCUAAAAGCCGGCCUCAGUUCGGAUUGCAGUCUGCAACUCGACUGCAUGAAGUUGGAAUCGCUAGUAACCGUGAAUCAGCCAUGUCACGGUGAAUAUGUUCCUGGGUCUUGUACUCACCGCCCGUCAAGUCAUGAAAGGUAGAAGCACCUGAAGCACCGUUACCCUUUUGGGGCGGUACCACGGUGAAGCUACUGAUUGGGACUAAGUCGUAACAAGGUAUCCGUAGGAGAACCUGCGGAUGGAACAUCUCCUUACCAGGGAGUA